RNAcentral lists this transfer RNA (83 nucleotides) under Pholiota conissans. It matches the Rfam family "tRNA". Rfam says of the family: Transfer RNA (tRNA) molecules are approximately 80 nucleotides in length. Their secondary structure includes four short double-helical elements and three loops (D, anti-codon, and T loops). Lineage: Eukaryota; Fungi; Basidiomycota; Agaricomycetes; Agaricales; Strophariaceae. The record is from Rfam by way of RNAcentral.
GUCUCGAUAGCUAAGUGGUAUAGCAUGCGAUUGCAGUGGAAACACCUAUCGCAGGGUCCGGUGUUCGAACCACCGUCGGGACU